Non-coding RNA from Pelobates cultripes (western spadefoot toad), 1205 nucleotides. The record is from the annotation of a GenBank genome assembly. NCBI's taxonomy places the organism in Eukaryota, Metazoa, Chordata, Amphibia, Anura, Pelobatidae.
UCCAGCCACUUUUGCAGAAAAAGACCUAUGGUAGUCAUAGAAUGCCGAACCACCAUAUUUGUUGCCCAGGUCUACCAGCUUGUGCAUAUAGAGAUCAAACUCCUCUCUUCUGUUGGGAUAAACCGCACAGAUGACAUCCCUGUAAAUACCAAACGCUAGUACAAAUUCUGGGAUAGUUAGUUUUCUGUUCAGGCGGGCAUCCCUAGAUCUGACAAUAACAGAAACAUCAUCAUAAGCAUACGUCUUAUGUUCCACAAUGUCCUGGGAGGCAAUCAACAGGCAAGCCAGGUUGACGUCUUUACCUUCCAGGAUAUCCCUUUUGAUAUGCUCAGGUAUCAUGUGGGCCGGGCUAACUUCCUGGUCAUCCAGGGUGCUAGUUGGAGCGACUAAUGGCAAGUCUGGUGUUUGUACCGCAGCCGCGGGUGGCCCUGCUAGAGUGAGGGCCGUGGUGACCGACUCAAGUUUCUCCAGCCUGGAGUUGACCUUGCCCAUGGAUGCCAUGAGUGAGGAUAACAUGGCAUGUAUGUCCCCUGGGUUGGACUGGCUAGAUCCUUCCCCGGCCUCUAUGUUAUUAGUUGAUGUGCGUAGCAGUUUGAAAAGUUCUGCCUUCCUUGCUGUAGCGGGAUAGGGGAUUUGUUGUCUCCUUAAUUCCGUGGUUAUGCGCGGGAUUGUCCAGGAUCUGAUUGAUGCUGGACUAGCUAGCUCUCCUCCUUGUGGGGAGUGACAGCUCUAGCCGGGGUGCUAGGCAGGGAGAAAUUCUCUACCCCUUCCUGAGACAUACUAUAAAUAAAACAAUAAUUAGUAUAUAGAACCACCAAAUUGUACUGGCAGGCUAGCUAGGCCGGAUGGCGAAAGUAUUAUACUUGUUUGGUGACAGGUGAGGCCCUGCUAAUUGCCAAGCGGCUUGAGAGGCUCUAUGCGUUGGCGCGAGGGGUUAUUGAGGCCACUUGACGUAGUGGCAGGAGUUUUAGGCCACUCGGUGACUGUACGACAGAAAACAGAGGAAGGUAGUGACAGGUGAGGCCCUCUCUUUGCAACAUGCGAGGCGGCUAGCUAACGUGUGGCCCGAUGGGUGUUUGCCUCUGGAACGUUUGAGGCGGGGUGUUGGCCUCGCGGGACCACUAACUGAUGGCGACAGCCAAGACGGGGUAAAUACCUAUUGGGAAUCUUGUGACCCUAUUGCCAGUACUCUAAACUAGGGGGAU